Molecule: ribosomal RNA, 449 nt
Filed under: uncultured organism
Description: partial 16S ribosomal RNA
Rfam family: Bacterial small subunit ribosomal RNA
Source: RNAcentral
GUACACUCCUACGGGAGGCAGCAGUGGGGAAUAUUGGACAAUGGGCGCAAGCCUGAUCCAGCCAUGCCGCGUGAGUGAUGAAGGCCCUAGGGUUGUAAAGCUCUUUUGUGCGGGAAGAUAAUGACGGUACCGCAAGAAUAAGCCCCGGCUAACUUCGUGCCAGCAGCCGCGGUAAUACGAAGGGGGCUAGCGUUGCUCGGAAUCACUGGGCGUAAAGGGUGCGUAGGCGGGUCUUUAAGUCAGGGGUGAAAUCCUGGAGCUCAACUCCAGAACUGCCUUUGAUACUGAAGAUCUUGAGUUCGGGAGAGGUGAGUGGAACUGCGAGUGUAGAGGUGAAAUUCGUAGAUAUUCGCAAGAACACCAGUGGCGAAGGCGGCUCACUGGCCCGAUACUGACGCUGAGGCACGAAAGCGUGGGGAGCAAACAGGAUUAGAUACCCGAGUAGUCCC